GGACACGUGAAAUCCUGCUCGAAGAUGGGGGGACCAUCCUCCAAGGCUAAAUACUCGUAAUCGACCGAUAGCGAACCAGUACUGUGAAGGAAAGGCGAAAAGAACCCCGGGAGGGGAGUGAAAUAGAUCCUGAAACCGCAUACAUACAAACAGUAGGAGCCCGCAAGGGUGACUGCGUACCUUUUGCAUAAUGGGUCAGCGACUUACGUUCAAUGGCAAGCUUAACCGAGUAGGGGAGGCGCAGCGAAAGCGAGUCCGAACAGGGCGAUAUGAGUCGUUGGGCGUAGACCCGAAACCAGAUGAUCUAUCCAUGGCCAGGCUGAAGGUGUGGUAACACACACUGGAGGGCCGAACCGACUAGUGUUGCAAAAUUAGCGGAUGAGCUGUGGAUAGGGGUGAAAGGCUAAACAAAUCUGGAGAUAGCUGGUUCUCCCCGAAAACUAUUGAGGUAGUGCCUCGUGUAUGGCUCCAGGGGGUAGAGCACUGUUAUGGCUAGGGGGACAUGGCGUCUUACCAAACCAUGGCAAACUCCGAAUACUUGGAAGUCUGAGCACGGGAGACAGAGCACCGGGUGCUAACGUCCGGACUCAAAAGGGAAACAACCCAGACCGCCGGCUAAGGUCCCUAAUAUUGACUAAGUGGAAAACGAAGUGGGAAGGCUAAGACAGUCAGGAAGUUGGCUUAGAAGCAGCCAUCCUUCAAAGAAAGCGUAAUAGCUCACUGAUCGAGUCUUCCUGCGCGGAAGAUGUAACGGGGCUAAGUCAAUAACCGAAGCCGCGGAUUCGCAGCAAUGCGAGUGGUAGGGGAGCGUUCUGUAAGCCUGCGAAGGCGGAUCUGCGAGGACCGCUGGAGGUAUCAGAAGUGCGAAUGCUGACAUGAGUAACGUUAAAGCGGGUGAAAAGCCCGCUCGCCGCAAGCCCAAGGUUUCCUGCUCUACGUUCAUCGGAGCAGGGUGAGUCGGCCCCUAAGGUCAGGCUGAGAAGCGUAGCUGAUGGGAAGCUGGUUAAUAUUCCAGCACCGAUU
This 1023-nucleotide ribosomal RNA is filed under the name Campylobacter jejuni. RNAcentral's name for it is "partial 23S ribosomal RNA". It matches the Rfam family "Bacterial large subunit ribosomal RNA", at positions 420 to 1449 of the family's 2925-position model. The record is from RNAcentral. Lineage: Bacteria; Pseudomonadati; Campylobacterota; Epsilonproteobacteria; Campylobacterales; Campylobacteraceae.